This 527-nucleotide ribosomal RNA is filed under the name uncultured Hymenobacter sp. RNAcentral's name for it is "bacterial SSU rRNA". It matches the Rfam family "Bacterial small subunit ribosomal RNA", at positions 340 to 868 of the family's 1533-position model. Lineage: Bacteria; Pseudomonadati; Bacteroidota; Cytophagia; Cytophagales; Hymenobacteraceae. The record is from RNAcentral.
UACGGGAGGCAGCAGUAGGGAAUAUUGGGCAAUGGGCGAGAGCCUGACCCAGCCAUGCCGCGUGCCGGAUGAAGGCCUUCUGGGUUGUAAACGGCUUUUCUCAGGGAAGAAAAAGACCAUGCGUGGUACACUGACGGUACCUGAGGAAUAAGCACCGGCUAACUCCGUGCCAGCAGCCGCGGUAAUACGGAGGGUGCAAGCGUUGUCCGGAUUUAUUGGGUUUAAAGGGUGCGUAGGCGGCCCGUUAAGUCCGGGGUGAAAGCCCACAGCUCAACUGUGGAACUGCCCUGGAUACUGGCGGGCUUGAGUCCAGACGAGGUUGGCGGAAUGGAUGGUGUAGCGGUGAAAUGCAUAGAUACCAUCCAGAACCCCGAUUGCGUAGGCAGCUGACUAGGCUGGUACUGACGCUGAGGCACGAAAGCGUGGGGAGCGAACAGGAUUAGAUACCCUGGUAGUCCACGCCGUAAACGAUGGAUACUCGCUGGUGGCGAUAGACAGUCACUGGCUCAGCGAAAGCGGUAAGUUCC